GAGGAAAGACUUUCCAGAAGCCCAGGCCAAGAAGCUUAAAGCUGUUAAGCAGAGGUUGCCUGUGCUGAAUCCUGGCACUAAGAAGGAUUCCUCGAGGGAACUCCAGGAAAGAUCUGCAAAGCUGCCUGGGAACCCCAGUUUGCUGGCAAAGACAUCCUUGAGUUCAGCCAUGAUGGGGGGGGGGGCGUGCGGGGGAGGGGCGGAUGCAGCCUCUCCAAACAGCAGGGCUUUGCAGCAUCACAGCUGUGCUGGGGCUUGUGAAGGCAUGAAGAACAAAAGAAUGGAGUCCAGGCUCUCACCGCGGCUGAAGAGGACACCCAGUGAGACCAGGAAGAAGACUGCUUUCCCGUUGGGGUCUCUGUGGAAAGGGUCUGAGGUGAUGAUGCCUCGUGGCACGGUGGUAGUCAAGCCCAAGAAGAAGAUCGCCACGCCCACGAAUACUGGAGCAGGGGAGACGUCCAGCAAAGCCCCACAGCAGGGAA
RNAcentral lists this long non-coding RNA (482 nucleotides) under Mus pahari (shrew mouse). RNAcentral describes it as "lncRNA (MGP_PahariEiJ_G0006509.1)". Lineage: Eukaryota; Metazoa; Chordata; Mammalia; Rodentia; Muridae. The record is from RNAcentral.